GAUGAACGCUGGCGGCGUGCCUCAAACAUGCAAGUCGAGCGGGGCUAUGUAAUAUCGCAAGGUAGAACAUAGCCUAGCGGCGAACGGGUGAGUAACACGUGGGUAACCUGCCUGGAAGACAGGGAUAACGAUUCGAAAGGGUCGCUAAUACCUGAUAAUAUCCUUUCAUCGCAUGGUGAUAGGAAGAAAGGGGAAACCCGCUUUCAGAUGGGCCCGCGUCCCAUCAGCUAGUUGGUAAGGUAAAGGCUUACCAAGGCGACGACGGGUAGCCGGUCUGAGAGGAUGUACGGCCACACUGGGACUGAGAUACGGCCCAGACUCCUACGGGAGGCAGCAGUUGGGAAUCUUAGGCAAUGGGCGGAAGCCUGACCGAGCGACGCCGCGUGAGGGACGAAGGCCUCGGGUUGUAACCUCUGUCUGGGGGACGGAGUAAGGACGGUACCCCGGACGGAAGCCCGGCUAACUACGUG
This 470-nucleotide ribosomal RNA is filed under the name uncultured bacterium. RNAcentral's name for it is "bacterial SSU rRNA". It matches the Rfam family "Bacterial small subunit ribosomal RNA", at positions 28 to 507 of the family's 1533-position model. The record is from RNAcentral.